CCUACGGGCGGCAGCAGUGGGGAAUAUUGGACAAUGGGCGAAAGCCUGAUCCAGCCAUGCCGCGUGUGUGAAGAAGGCCUUCGGGUUGUAAAGCACUUUCAGUGGGGAAGAAAGCCUUGGGGCUAAUACCCUCGAGGAAGGACAUCACCCACAGAAGAAGCACCGGCUAACUCCGUGCCAGCAGCCGCGGUAAUACGGAGGGUGCGAGCGUUAAUCGGAAUUACUGGGCGUAAAGCGCGCGUAGGCGGUCUGAUAAGCCGGUUGUGAAAGCCCCGGGCUCAACCUGGGAACGGCAUCCGGAACUGUCAGGCUAGAGUGCAGGAGAGGAAGGUAGAAUUCCCGGUGUAGCGGUGAAAUGCGUAGAGAUCGGGAGGAAUACCAGUGGCGAAGGCGGCCUUCUGGACUGACACUGACGCUGAGGUGCGAAAGCGUGGGUAGCAAACAGGAUUAGAUACCCCAGUGUC
Molecule: ribosomal RNA, 464 nt
Filed under: Vreelandella stevensii
Lineage: Bacteria; Pseudomonadati; Pseudomonadota; Gammaproteobacteria; Oceanospirillales; Halomonadaceae
Description: partial 16S ribosomal RNA
Rfam family: Bacterial small subunit ribosomal RNA
Source: RNAcentral